AUUGUAGGAUGAGCGUCCGGCCUUGUAUCACAAGUCAAAAGGGAAUCCAGUGUAAAUCUGGAGCUGACGCGCAGCGGUAAGGAAUGCCCGAGCGAUAGCAUUAUUGCAGACACUGUUAUGUACUCUAAAUAUUUCGAGUUGUAGGACAAAACGUUAACGUUUUGAACAGCGCACAUGCAACUUGAAGUAUGCUGGGUAUCGAUGGGAAGUCAUCGCUUUCGUUGUAUCCCCUACUGUUGUUGACGGUUUGUGGUAACAACGGCAUCCAAGCCCGAAGACCUGCCGGAAUACGUCGCAAUUG
This 301-nucleotide non-coding RNA is filed under the name Pectobacterium carotovorum. Lineage: Bacteria; Pseudomonadati; Pseudomonadota; Gammaproteobacteria; Enterobacterales; Pectobacteriaceae. The record is from RNAcentral.